Long non-coding RNA from Podarcis raffonei (Aeolian wall lizard), 517 nucleotides. RefSeq lists it as uncharacterized. The transcript is spliced from 2 exons. The record is from RefSeq and is a predicted model, not a curated record. Lineage: Eukaryota; Metazoa; Chordata; Lepidosauria; Squamata; Lacertidae.
GUGAAUUUGAGUAUUCUGUCAUAAAAUCUCAGGGUGCCUUGAGAUGUGGCAUUGAUGUUAGCAAACUUACAAUUCAGGUUCAAAUGGUAUGUAUGCAAUGGAUUCUGGAAGCUAAAGGUGGAUUGUAGUGGCCAUUUGGUUUCACAUUAACUGAUACGUUUCAUCAGUUCAGAUACAUUUUAUAUAUAUGACUUUCAGAUAUAUUUUAACAGUUUCUUUCUAGUGACAGAAGCCUCUUUCAGGCCAGUGGAGACUUACAUGAAUGGAAGGAGGGGGUGCAAGGUUCACAAAUUCCCCCUUUCCAGUAGCCUCUGUUCCAUCAGCAAAAUUAUUCCCAAGCCCUCUGGAGCAAGUUUGAGAGGCUAAAGAAGGAAUAACCUGAAAUUUUCUUACUCUUUCUAUUCAUGAAAGCUUCUAUACAGGAACCUUUCAUCAGCAAAGGGACACAAUUGGGUAUAAUUCAUCUGAAAUAAGAUAAGGUUAAUAAUGCUGAGGUUUUUUAUUCUCUGAAUACAUU